Molecule: non-coding RNA, 72 nt
Organism: Phrynosoma platyrhinos (Desert horned lizard)
Lineage: Eukaryota; Metazoa; Chordata; Lepidosauria; Squamata; Phrynosomatidae
Source: the annotation of a GenBank genome assembly
GCCAGUAUGGUGCAGUGGUUUGAAUGUUGGACUACAGCUGUGAAGGUCAGGGUUUGAAUUCCUGCUCAGCCA